Molecule: non-coding RNA, 73 nt
Organism: Paxillus rubicundulus Ve08.2h10
Lineage: Eukaryota; Fungi; Basidiomycota; Agaricomycetes; Boletales; Paxillaceae
Source: Rfam
GGACUGGUAGCUCAGUUGGAAGAGCGCUGCUGUACUAUGCCAGAGGCCACAGGUUCAAUCCCUGUCUAGUCCA